This 76-nucleotide transfer RNA is filed under the name Nevskia sp. RNAcentral describes it as "tRNA-Trp". It matches the Rfam family "tRNA". From Rfam's summary of the family: Transfer RNA (tRNA) molecules are approximately 80 nucleotides in length. The record is from RNAcentral. Lineage: Bacteria; Pseudomonadati; Pseudomonadota; Gammaproteobacteria; Nevskiales; Nevskiaceae.
AGGGCGGUAGCUCAAUUGGUAGAGCGGCGGUCUCCAAAACCGCAGGUUGGGGGUUCGAGACCCUCCCGCCCUGCCA